Molecule: unclassified non-coding RNA, 655 nt
Filed under: Leishmania donovani
Lineage: Eukaryota; Euglenozoa; Kinetoplastea; Trypanosomatida; Trypanosomatidae
Description: gene:unknown
Source: RNAcentral
CCUCAUCACAGUAUCUUCAUUUCCCAUUUUGUUUAAGCUCUGAGAAAGGGAGUGAUUCACUCUAUUCCGCCCCUCCCCUCUUCAUUCAGCGACCCCUAUGUGAGGGGCAGACGAGCAGCUCCUGUCGCCUGGCAGGCCGUCUUGCUUUUUUCCCUCUUUUUCUUUGCGCGGUGACAUCUUGCCCUCCGACACGCCCCCACCCCUCCCACCAAGGCGCCUGUUGCGCAGCCACAGGUUGUCAUCGCGGCCCACGACACCGCGGUGAUGGAGGAACUGCGCUCACAAGCGCGUUUCACCCGUGGAGUCCUUUGAACAACAGAGAGCCAGCGAACUCGGCAUGGCGCCUCACUUUGUAUGGGAUAGGCUCACAAACGCAGUGCACCGACCCGCCAGCGCGACGGCCAUGACCGUCGCUACCGGGAAUAUCAGUGCGUCCUAUCACGGCGAAGGGUCCCCGUUCGUCAUUGCCCCCGUGCUGUUGGGCGCCCUGCUCACAACUGUAGGUGUGUGUAGGCACUUGAAAACCUGGGGCCUUCACGGCCUCCCUACCCUCAUGAAGCGUAACUCUUGUGCGACGGCACAUCGGGCGCUGCCUUUUUUUCUGCCCAGUUUGGUUUGAUUACCCCCCCCCUCCUCCUCCUCCUCUUCCCGCCAG